GGACGAACGCUGGCGGCGUGCUUAACACAUGUAAGUCGAACGGAAAGGCCCUGCUUUUGUGGGGUGCUCGAGUGGCGAACGGGUGAGUAACACGUGAGUAACCUGCCCUUGACUUUGGGAUAACUUCAGGAAACUGGGGCUAAUACCGGAUAGGAGCUCCUGCUGCAUGGUGGGGGUUGGAAAGUUUCGGCGGUUGGGGAUGGACUCGCGGCUUAUCAGCUUGUUGGUGGGGUAGUGGCUUACCAAGGCUUUGACGGGUAGCCGGCCUGAGAGGGUGACCGGCCACAUUGGGACUGAGAUACGGCCCAGACUCCUACGGGAGGCAGCAGUGGGGAAUAUUGCACAAUGGGCGGAAGCCUGAUGCAGCAACGCCGCGUGCGGGAUGACGGCCUUCGGGUUGUAAACCGCUUUCGCCUGUGACGAAGCGUGAGUGACGGUAAUGGGUAAAGAAGCACCGGCUAACUACGUG
RNAcentral lists this ribosomal RNA (469 nucleotides) under uncultured bacterium. RNAcentral describes it as "partial 16S ribosomal RNA". It matches the Rfam family "Bacterial small subunit ribosomal RNA", at positions 27 to 507 of the family's 1533-position model. The record is from RNAcentral.